This 934-nucleotide long non-coding RNA is filed under the name Triticum aestivum (bread wheat). RNAcentral's name for it is "long non-coding RNA (TAES_LNC012039)". Lineage: Eukaryota; Viridiplantae; Streptophyta; Magnoliopsida; Poales; Poaceae. The record is from RNAcentral.
CCUUGUGAAGACGGAGUACCAAAAAGAACUAUUUUCCCCCAAGGUUUGUAAUUUUACAUUUAUGCUCAUAAAUACAUGAAACUACAACAAGAAUGUGUUUGAAUUCUAAGUACCUUUCUGCUCACCAUAGGAAAAAGCAUGGAAACUACAAAAAAAGGGGGAAACAUGUUAACUCUAGUGCUGGAGCAUAAAAAAGGUGACUACAACUAGUUCGGAUUUUUAGAUUUAAUUAAAUUAAAACUUGUUCUAUAUUCUGAUUGCUUCUUCUCACCAUAGAAAAAGCUUCGAGAAUACAAACAAAAAGCGAAAAGGGGGCAACUGAAUCGUUCGAUCCAAGAGGUAUUGUUUAUCUUUUUAGUUGACAUCUUAUGAAUAUUUUUUUUCAAUUGCUAAAAACUAUUGCUGCCUUACAUGCAUAAGUGCAGAUCAAGAACCAGCUCAAAAUAGCCAGAGCCAAUUUCCAUCGAGUUUCCUAUGCCCAACGAUGAAACAAAUGUUCCUGUGAAGGUUAGGGGAAAGAGUAAGAAGGAGUGCACUGAAAAGAUUCCUGUGGUGCCACAAGAUAGCCCAGCAAUGUGCACAAGAAGCAAAACAAUUAACCCUACAAGCCCUUCAAUGAGCACAAGAAGCAAAAGGUGACUUAGUUUAUGCUUCUCAUGUUUUCCUUUAAUGCCAGGGUUACUUUUGGAUGUUCUUUUGUGCUGCUCAUGUGAUGUACUUGUGACCUGACCUCAUGUGUGAAACAUUAUGUGAUGGAGAUCUCUAUGUGAUGCAUGUGAACUAGUACUGAUGUAUGUGGUGAAUGUGAACCUAAAUGUGAUGUAUGUGUGAACAUGUGUGAACCAGGUCCAUGUUGUGAUGCAUAUUGUGUGUAUAUAUGUAUGUAUGUAUAUAUAUAUACUAGUAUGUCUGCACGUGCAAUGCACGUUUUAAC